AUAAUGGUUUUACAGCUAGUUUAAUUUCUAAUUAAUAAGCUGGUUACUGUCUCAUUGUCUGCCCAUCUCUGUUCAUGCAUGUUUCUAGAUGCAAUAAAAUAUCUAUCUUUUCUGUAUACCUAUAUAUAGCAUAUAUAUGUACAUGCACUGAAAAUGACAGUCCAAGCCAAGUCUUUGAAGGAUUCGAUCAGGAUAAAGAAAGCAAUGCCUGCCUGCCUGUGGAAGAAUUCCUUGCAACUUGCAUUGUGUCCAUAUUACUGAUAAUCGAUAAUCAAUCACUUUAACAAACUUUGAUUAGUUUGACGACCGAAAUUCCCAGUAAUAAUGGUUCUAUGAUAGGGGAGGCAGCAGAUAGAAUCUCCCAUCCCACAUGCAGGAUGUUAUGGUCCACCAAAAGUCUGCGUGGUUGAAAUUUGAAGCUGGGAAAUCCCAGGUCCAAAAUUGGCCAAGAUUCAGGAUAUUUUUCACGGCAUCUUUGCAUCGUUUGCGUGGACAGUGAAGUCACAAUCACAGUGCUGUCUGAUGUUAUUUUUUAAAAGCAAAAGGGCAUGGACUGUGCCAUUCAGUUGUUGAGAAGAAAUGAUCAGCAAAGCUAAGGUCAAAUUGAAGGUAGCCAGCAGUAGCUGUGGUUGCAAAUUCAAAUACACUAGUGGUAGGUGGAUGUGUGUUUUUUUAAAUAUAUAUAUUUAUUAUCUGUUGUUAUCCCUCUCCAGGGCUUAACUAGUCUGGUCUGAUCUUAUCUUGUAAUCCAUCCAUAUAUAGGGUCACAUGAAACCAUGGGUUUGAAUGAUCUUUGGAAGGAAAAAGAAGUUUGCUUUUGUUUGAGAGAAAUUAAGUCUUGCACGUGAACCUUGGCGAUGUCGACCGACCUUAGCUUACUGUCACAGCUAGCUAGCCAGCUAACGACGACCAUGGAGUGUAUAUACAGUUAAUGGAUACAACUAUAUACAGUAUAGUGACUAUAGUCUAUGUAACAGCUAUAUCGUUGCUGCCAAUGACAUGAACAUAAUAGUGUCGUUGAAAAUACAAUUAACACUUAGUUAUAUAUAGCUAGCGGCUCUGGUAUAUAUAUAUAUAUAUAUAUAUAUAUAUAUAUACUUGAGAGAUAUAUAUGAUAAACAAAUUAAAUUGUUGGCAACAGGUUGCAAGCAUAGUAAAGGGGUCAAGCUCAGCAACUAGCCGAGCUGAGAGCGAGGCCAAGGAGGAGGACAAUCAACAAGCAAAGGUAGCAAGAGCCAAGAAACCGGCGGCAAGCUAGCAUAGUGACGAUGUGAACAAGCUAGGUGGCAGAUAAACAUACAGAAGAGUCAACUUGCAUCAUUGCAUGGUAUACAAGUAAAAACAUCUUCAAUUUGUCUCUCUCUCUCUCUCUCUCUCAAGGAAAUUAAAAAGAAGAAGAGAAGAAAAGUAAACAUCCAUCUUUGAAUUGUGUUGGUACCUAGCUUGGACUUUGGGAAGCAUGCAUGCAUAUGCUUCCAGCGGUGUAUGAGGACAAUGGAGAUAAACUAUUAUAUACACAUGAACCUUGAUUGUUGUCAAAUAAACUAGCUUACUAGCUUGGACUUUGCACAUGCACGUUAUGUAGUAUGUAUAUAUGUAUAUAUACAACUUGCUAUAUUAUUAUAAUUAUUUAUUUGUUGAACUACUAGUACUGUUAGUAUACAUGCAUAUACAUAUAUAUAUAUAUAUAUAUAUGUGUAUAGUUUUCGUUGGUUAACUGGCACCUAAUGAAGAGAAUCUCAUGUCGAUCAUCUUUUCAAAACUCAAGCAACCCUUCUUGGACAGCUAUGUAUAUAUGUCCUUAUCAUGUACGCAAGAUCAUUGACGAAUCGCUACGGCCUCGCUAGCUCUUACGUAGCUGUCACUACCGCUAGUCACGACACGGUAGAAUGAAGAGAUUAUUUAUGGUGUAACAUUGUUAAUUAUCAUAUACUUAUGCAUAUACUCUUGUAUAUAAAUUA
This 1961-nucleotide long non-coding RNA is filed under the name Sorghum bicolor (sorghum). RNAcentral describes it as "long non-coding RNA (SBIC_LNC001849)". Lineage: Eukaryota; Viridiplantae; Streptophyta; Magnoliopsida; Poales; Poaceae. The record is from RNAcentral.